AGAGUUUGAUCCUGGCUCAGGAUGAACGCCGGCGGUGAGCCUAAUACAUGCAAGUCGUACGCACUGGCCCAACUGAUUGAUGGUGCUUGCACCUGAUUGACGUUGGAUCACCAGUGAGUGGCGGACGGGUGAGUAACACGUAGGUAACCUGCCCCGGAGCGGGGGAUAACAUUUGGAAACAGAUGCUAAUACCGCAUAACAACAAAAGCCACAUGGCUUUUGUUUGAAAGAUGGCUUUGGCUAUCACUCUGGGAUGGACCUGCGGUGCAUUAGCUAGUUGGUAAGGUAACGGCUUACCAAGGCGAUGAUGCAUAGCCGAGUUGAGAGACUGAUCGGCCACAAUGGAACUGAGACACGGUCCAUACUCCUACGGGAGGCAGCAGUAGGGAAUCUUCCACAAUGGGCGCAAGCCUGAUGGAGCAACACCGCGUGAGUGAAGAAGGGUUUCGGCUCGUAAAGCUCUGUUGUUGGAGAAGAACGUGCGUGAGAGUAACUGUUCACGCAGUGACGGUAUCCAACCAGAAAGUCACGGCUAACUACGUGCCAGCAGCCGCGGUAAUACGUAGGUGGCAAGCGUUAUCCGGAUUUAUUGGGCGUAAAGCGAGCGCAGGCGGUUGCUUAGGUCUGAUGUGAAAGCCUUCGGCUUAACCGAAGAAGUGCAUCGGAAACCGGGCGACUUGAGUGCAGAAGAGGACAGUGGAACUCCAUGUGUAGCGGUGGAAUGCGUAGAUAUAUGGAAGAACACCAGUGGCGAAGGCGGCUGUCUGGUCUGCAACUGACGCUGAGGCUCGAAAGCAUGGGUAGCGAACAGGAUUAGAUACCCUGGUAGUCCAUGCCGUAAACGAUGAGUGCUAGGUGUUGGAGGGUUUCCGCCCUUCAGUGCCGGAGCUAACGCAUUAAGCACUCCGCCUGGGGAGUACGACCGCAAGGUUGAAACUCAAAGGAAUUGACGGGGGCCCGCACAAGCGGUGGAGCAUGUGGUUUAAUUCGAAGCAACGCGAAGAACCUUACCAGGUCUUGACAUCCAGUGCAAACCUAAGAGAUUAGGUGUUCCCUUCGGGGACGCUGAGACAGGUGGUGCAUGGCUGUCGUCAGCUCGUGUCGUGAGAUGUUGGGUUAAGUCCCGCAACGAGCGCAACCCUUGUCAUUAGUUGCCAUCAUUAAGUUGGGCACUCUAAUGAGACUGCCGGUGACAAACCGGAGGAAGGUGGGGAUGACGUCAAGUCAUCAUGCCCCUUAUGACCUGGGCUACACACGUGCUACAAUGGACGGUACAACGAGAAGCGAACCUGCGAAGGCAAGCGGAUCUCUUAAAGCUGUUCUCAGUUCGGACUGUAGGCUGCAACUCGCCUACACGAAGCUGGAAUCGCUAGUAAUCGCGGAUCAGCACGCCGCGGUGAAUACGUUACCGGGCCUUGUACUCACCGCCCGUCA
Molecule: ribosomal RNA, 1434 nt
Filed under: uncultured bacterium
Lineage: Bacteria
Description: bacterial SSU rRNA
Rfam family: Bacterial small subunit ribosomal RNA
Source: RNAcentral